Molecule: non-coding RNA, 74 nt
Organism: Rhynchosporium graminicola
Lineage: Eukaryota; Fungi; Ascomycota; Leotiomycetes; Helotiales; Ploettnerulaceae
Source: the annotation of a GenBank genome assembly
AUACAGUUAGCUCAGUUGGUUAGAGCGUGGUGCUAAUAACGCCAAGGUCGCGAGUUCGACCCUCGUAGUGAUCA